GCGCUCCACACACCAUGCCAGACCGCAUCUCAACAGCGGAGCGUACGCGCCUGAGCCCUCGGGAGCGAGAGCGCCGAGGGCGCAUUGCGAAACAGAAAAUUGCGAUCCGGGUGGAAGGAACGGAGGUUUA
RNAcentral lists this non-coding RNA (130 nucleotides) under Pseudopedinella elastica. Lineage: Eukaryota; Dictyochophyceae; Pedinellales. The record is from RNAcentral.